Molecule: ribosomal RNA, 846 nt
Filed under: uncultured microorganism
Description: bacterial SSU rRNA
Rfam family: Bacterial small subunit ribosomal RNA
Source: RNAcentral
GUAGGAGGCGAGCGUUAUCCGGAUUUACUGGGCGUAAAGAGGGCGUAGGCGGUUUUUCAAGUCGAUUGUAAAAUCUCCCGGCUUAACUGGGAGGGGCCAGUCGAUACUGUUAGACUAGAGAGCAGCAGGGGGAGGUGGAAUUCCCGGUGUAGUGGUGAAAUGUGUAGAUAUCGGGAGGAACACCAGAGGCGAAGGCGGCCUCCUAGGCUGUUUCUGACGCUGAGGUCCGAAAGCGUGGGGAGCAAACAGGAUCAGAUACCCUGGUAGUCCACGCUGUAAUCGAUGGACACUAGGUAUAGGGAGUAUCGACCCUCUCUGUGCCGAAGCUAACGCAUUAAGUGUCCCGCCUGGGGAGUACGGCCGCAAGGCUAAAACUCAAAGGAAUUGACGGGGGCCCGCACAAGCAGCGGAGCGUGUGGUUUAAUUCGAUGCAACGCGAAGAACCUUACCAAGGCUUGAUAUGUCGGAAGUAGCGACCCGAAAGGGAAGCCACCUGUUGAGUCAGGAGCCGUCACAGGUGCUGCAUGGCUGUCGUCAGCUCGUGCUGUGAAGUGUUAGGUUAAGUCCUGUAACGAGCGCAACCCCUGUUGCUAGUUGUUUUCUCUAGCGAGACUGCCCUGCAAAAUGGGGAGGAAGGUGGGGAUGACGUCAAGUCAGCACGGCCCUUAUGCCUUGGGCUACACACACGCUACAAUGGGUGGUACAAUGGGUAGCAAUAGAGCAAUCUGGAGCCAAUCCUAAAAAGCCAUCCUCAGUUCGGAUUGCAGGCUGAAACCCGCCUGCAUGAAGUCGGAGUUGCUAGUAACCGCAGGUCAGCAUACUGCGGUGAAUACGUUCUCGGGCCUU